AGGACGAACGCUGGCGGCGCGCUUAACACAUGCAAGUCGAGCGAGAACCGGUCCUUCGGGACUGGGGAAAGCGGCGAACGGGUGAGUAACACGUGAGCAACCUGCCCUUGGCUCUGGGAUAGCCUCCGGAAACGGGGAUUAAUACCGGACAUGACCUUGGUCUGCAUGGACUGAGGUGGAAAGUUUUUCGGCCAGGGAUGGGCUCGCGGCCUAUCAGCUUGUUGGGGGGGUAACGCCCACCAAGGCGACGACGGGUA
Molecule: ribosomal RNA, 257 nt
Filed under: uncultured bacterium
Lineage: Bacteria
Description: partial small subunit ribosomal RNA
Rfam family: Bacterial small subunit ribosomal RNA
Source: RNAcentral